RNAcentral lists this transfer RNA (73 nucleotides) under Felis catus (domestic cat). It matches the Rfam family "tRNA". From Rfam's summary of the family: Transfer RNA (tRNA) molecules are approximately 80 nucleotides in length. Their secondary structure includes four short double-helical elements and three loops (D, anti-codon, and T loops). Further hydrogen bonds mediate the characteristic L-shaped molecular structure. tRNAs have two regions of fundamental functional importance: the anti-codon, which is responsible for specific mRNA codon recognition, and the 3' end, to which the tRNAs corresponding amino acid is attached (by aminoacyl-tRNA synthetases). tRNAs cope with the degeneracy of the genetic code in two manners: having more than one tRNA (with a specific anti-codon) for a particular amino acid; and 'wobble' base-pairing, i.e. permitting non-standard base-pairing at the 3rd anti-codon position. The record is from Rfam by way of RNAcentral. Lineage: Eukaryota; Metazoa; Chordata; Mammalia; Carnivora; Felidae. RNAcentral also lists the same sequence under 3 other names.
GCCUGGCUGGCUCAGUCAGUAGAGCAUAUGACUCUUGAUCUCAAGGUCGUGAGUUCAAGCCCCACAUUGGGCA